GUUGUGAUCUUGAUAAUUUAAUUGAUUAAUUAAUUUAUAUUUAGGUUGAUUGCAAUAUGGAUCUGGUGUAGUCAUCUAGGUCAUCUUGGAUCUACUAAUAAUUCAUCACUUGCAUAAUCUUCUAUCAUAGACAUUAAAAAUAACAACAAAACAACAAUCAUUGGAUCCAAUCUCAUCUAUUGUUUAAAAACAUUCAAUUGUUUUUAUUUAAUUAAUUUUUAUUUAUCAAUUGUUGUUGUUAUUAUUAUGAUGUCUUGUUGAAAUUAAAAAUUUUUAUUGGGCAUGCGCAAAUGUACUUAGGGCCGCCAUGUUUGUUGUUGGUGUUGCAAAUGAGCCACUUGACGAAUUUGCGCGCUCCUUCCCCUGCCCCCUGCGGGGGUGUUUUCCACAGUUCGUCACGAAAAAAUAAAAAAAUCGUCAGUACUGCGCGUGAACUGAUUACGGAAGGACGUACGUUUUUUUUAAUUUUAUGUUUUUGCUUGUGUUGGUGUAUUAUUUUGAGUAUUAUUUUGUGAAUUUGGAGCAAUUUGAAGUGAUCCUGCUUCCUGAAUCCUGUUAUUUUUAUGGAUAAUUCAAUCAAGGACAAACUGACGUUAAUCUAGAUACUAAAAAACUUUCAUCAUCAACUGCAGCAAAGUUGCGUCAAGAGAGGGUCUCACGUCACGUCUCGAGGAUAACAGCACAACGUCACGAACUUACAACGGCAUUCAACCUUAUCCAUCCACUUGUAAACUUCACCAUAUAUACAUACAUAAUAUGAAUUUCUACAAUAUCAAUUUAGAAUCUUCAUCAUCAACUGCAGUAAGGACUGCCGGGGAUCUCUAGUUUAGCUGCUGCACCUGCGCUGUGCGUUUCACCAACGAUUCCAGAUUUCAC
Molecule: long non-coding RNA, 876 nt
Organism: Aphidius gifuensis
Lineage: Eukaryota; Metazoa; Arthropoda; Insecta; Hymenoptera; Braconidae
Exons: 5
Source: RefSeq, a predicted model, not a curated record